This 448-nucleotide ribosomal RNA is filed under the name uncultured bacterium. RNAcentral's name for it is "bacterial SSU rRNA". It matches the Rfam family "Bacterial small subunit ribosomal RNA", at positions 328 to 793 of the family's 1533-position model. The record is from RNAcentral.
CCUCCAGACUCCUACGGGAGGCAGCAGUGGGGAAUAUUGCACAAUGGGGGAAACCCUGAUGCAGCGACGCCGCGUGAGCGAUGAAGUAUUUCGGUAUGUAAAGCUCUAUCAGCAGGGAAGAAAAUGACGGUACCUGACUAAGAAGCCCCGGCUAACUACGUGCCAGCAGCCGCGGUAAUACGUAGGGGGCAAGCGUUAUCCGGAUUUACUGGGUGUAAAGGGAGCGUAGACGGCCGUUCAAGCCAGAUGUGAAAGCCCGGGGCUCAACCCCGGGACUGCAUUUGGAACUGUGGGGCUAGAGUGUCGGAGAGGCAGGCGGAAUUCCUAGUGUAGCGGUGAAAUGCGUAGAUAUUAGGAGGAACACCAGUGGCGAAGGCGGCCUGCUGGACGAUGACUGACGUUGAGGCUCGAAAGCGUGGGGAGCAAACAGGAUUAGAUACCCUUGUAU